This 253-nucleotide ribosomal RNA is filed under the name uncultured bacterium. RNAcentral describes it as "partial 16S ribosomal RNA". It matches the Rfam family "Bacterial small subunit ribosomal RNA", at positions 524 to 776 of the family's 1533-position model. The record is from RNAcentral.
UACGAGGGGGGCGAGCGUUGUUCGGAAUUAUUGGGCGUAAAGGGUGCGUAGGCGGUUUGGUAAGUCUCUUGUGAAAUCUCCGGGCUCAACUCGGAGCUUGCAAGGGAAACUGCCGGGCUUGAGUGUGGGAGGGGUGAGUGGAAUUUCCGGUGUAGCGGUGAAAUGCGUAGAUAUCGGGAGGAACACCUGUGGCGAAAGCGGCUCACUGGACCACAACUGACGCUGAUGCACGAAAGCUAGGGGAGCAAACAGG